AUGGCUCCUCGCGCUCUCUCUUGGAUUAGUGUUUCUCUGCUUGUCUUCUUGGCGUCCUGGUCAUGCGUUGCGGCCAGGGGCACACGGGCACCCAGAACCGCCGACCCGACCGAUGGGUUCACUGCGGUGAGGCUCGGCGAGAGCAACUUCGCGCUGCAGCUCCCGUUCGACGAGUCGACCGGCGCACGCUACAGCUUCGACGGCACCGUGCGGAAGCUUUGGGUGCUCUCCUCCGACAAGCCACAUGCCCGCCAGAGCCAUACCAGCCCAAGAACUGAGAUUAGGAUGGCAGGCUACGACUACAGCUCCGGCGUGUGGCAGUUCGAGGGCUAUGGGUACGUCCCCUCCGGCACCACGGGGGUGUCUAUCAUGCAGGUGUUCGGUGCCGGCGAGACGGCCACCACAUUCAUGCUGCACGUCUAUGAUGGCGCGCUGCGGUAUUACAACCGGCAGCUCGUCGAGGACGCCAUCUAUGACAGAUGGUUUCGGCUGAACGUGGUCCACGACGUCGACGCUUCGACGCUCACCGUGUAUAUCGACGGCGAGCUGAAGCUGCACGUCCAAGGCCGCGGCGGUCACUCGCACUACUUCAAGUUCGGCGUGUACGGUCAGCGCCGGGAGUCCAGCCGGAUGGAAUCGCACUGGAAGGACGUCAAGAUCCUCAUGAAAGAUUAG
This 675-nucleotide ribosomal RNA is filed under the name Triticum aestivum (bread wheat). Its description in RNAcentral is "partial small subunit ribosomal RNA". The record is from RNAcentral. Lineage: Eukaryota; Viridiplantae; Streptophyta; Magnoliopsida; Poales; Poaceae.